AGAGAGUGUGGAAAAGGAAGAGA
RNAcentral lists this microRNA (23 nucleotides) under Pristionchus pacificus. Its description in RNAcentral is "ppc-miR-8364g-3p". Lineage: Eukaryota; Metazoa; Nematoda; Chromadorea; Rhabditida; Neodiplogasteridae. The record is from miRBase by way of RNAcentral.